Molecule: ribosomal RNA, 261 nt
Filed under: uncultured bacterium
Lineage: Bacteria
Description: partial 16S ribosomal RNA
Rfam family: Bacterial small subunit ribosomal RNA
Source: RNAcentral
GUCCAUGCCGUAAACGAUGAUUACUAGGUGUGGGAGGAUUGACCCCUUCCGUGCCGCAGUUAACACAAUAAGUAAUCCACCUGGGGAGUACGACCGCAAGGUUGAAACUCAAAGGAAUUGACGGGGGCCCGCACAAGCAGUGGAGUAUGUGGUUUAAUUCGACGCAACGCGAAGAACCUUACCAAGUCUUGACAUCCGUUGACCGACAUAGAAAUAUGUUUUUCCUUCGGGACAGCGAGACAGGUGGUGCAUGGUUGUCGU